RNAcentral lists this transfer RNA (76 nucleotides) under Escherichia coli. Its description in RNAcentral is "tRNA-Asn". It matches the Rfam family "tRNA". From Rfam's summary of the family: Transfer RNA (tRNA) molecules are approximately 80 nucleotides in length. Their secondary structure includes four short double-helical elements and three loops (D, anti-codon, and T loops). The record is from RNAcentral. Lineage: Bacteria; Pseudomonadati; Pseudomonadota; Gammaproteobacteria; Enterobacterales; Enterobacteriaceae. RNAcentral also lists the same sequence under 2 other names.
UCCUCUGUAGUUCAGUCGGUAGAACGGAGGACUGUUAAUCCGUAUGUCACUGGUUCGAGUCCAGUCAGAGGAGCCA